CAUAUUAAUUUCAGCCCUCUUA
This 22-nucleotide non-coding RNA is filed under the name Rattus norvegicus (Norway rat). Lineage: Eukaryota; Metazoa; Chordata; Mammalia; Rodentia; Muridae. The record is from RNAcentral.